This 1699-nucleotide long non-coding RNA is filed under the name Anas platyrhynchos platyrhynchos (common mallard). Its description in RNAcentral is "lncRNA (ENSAPLG00000028092.1)". The record is from RNAcentral. Lineage: Eukaryota; Metazoa; Chordata; Aves; Anseriformes; Anatidae.
GCUGCCAUGAAAAGAAGAACUCUGCAGUUAUGAACAGGAAGAGGCAGUCUGUAAAACUGAAGGUGGAGGAGAGGUCUUUUCACUCCCGUUAACUUUCAGCCUAUACUAAGGGUAGCUAUAUUGGAAAUCAAUACCAAAACCCCCGUAGACUUUGAUGGGAGAACAAUUAGGUCACUGUUGGUUGUCUUUGAAAUCCCACACUGGCUAUGUCUAUUGUUUGCUUGUCUGGCAUUGUCUUGAAAAACCUGCUGGCUUUUUUUCCUUUGUUCUGGGUUGCUUACACAUAUUAACUGCAGUCAUUCUUAUACGAAAGCCUACUUGUAAUGGACUGGAAUAGGCCAACUUUCUUUUAAAUUUUACGUGGCUUGUUUCAUGGCCCUACUGUGCUUCAAAAGACUGGUAGCACUGCAAGGCAUUCAUAUAACACCUCGUGCAGAGUUAAUGAGCAUGGUUACAUGAACCUUACUGUGCUUUCCUGGAAGAUUAUUGUGAAAAGAACAAAGAUAAUAACACUUUGCCAUGAGGAUAUGAAAAAACCCUCCUUUGAAGCACUCCAUCACUCUGUCAAGUGGCCACUUGCACCCGCCUAUGGUAUCCUCACAGGUGCCUCUGGUGAGUAAGAUUUAGACCAAGGCUUGUGGAUCUGCUCACCUGCUGCAAAGUGGAGGGUGGGGACCAGGGCAGGUGCUAAAGGCUGUGCUGCAUCAGCAUGAGUACUCCUGGUGCUGGAAGUUGGGUCAGGGAGAUGAAAGAGUUGAAAACUAUUUUAUUUUGUUAGCUCAGCUCUAUCUGCUUGUUCCCUUGACCACCCUGCAACCAGAUGACCACCGAUAGCAGCGCAGAAGAGGGAGCAGAUGAAAUACAACAGUUUAGUGAUGUAAGGCUGGAAAAAAGCCAUCAUAUGCUGGCAGCACUACGUGGGGCGCGGAUUUGUGCAAACAAGGAGAAAUGUGUUUGUCCCUCUUCAAAAGUUCUCGCUGGCUUGGUAAGUUGGAUGAUUUUCAGGGUCUUCUAUUUAUUUAUUUAUUUCCUCCUGGCUUUCUUGAUGCAGUAGAAGCGCCAGUCCCACUUACAGUAUGUACAGAUGUCCGUGCCUUGCUCUCAGACUCCCCGCAGGCGAACGAUGAUAAAUGAGGAGGAAAAGAAAGAUGGCUUUUAAAGAAUGACCUUAGGAAACAAACACUGCAGAAAUAGUUGCUAUGCCUGGUGUUUCGUCUGUGAAUGCCUGGGGAAAUUAACGCAUGUACAAGUGGGAAAUGCAUCCAUAUCUUUGGGCAGAGAAGACCAGAAGUUUUUGCACAGUAGCUGGCUCUUUGGGGCUGGACUUCUGCUGCUGUAUCUACGGGUUUCUUUUCUAAAAGGGAAAAGAGAUCAUUGCUGAAAGAUAUUUUAAAUGAAAUAUCAAAUACACAGUAAUUCUUAUUGCCUAAUGGUCCUCAUUUUUCUCAGUACUUGUCAGAUUUCUCCUUAGCUUGAGUGGCAAGUACCUUCUCUGUCAUACAGCAGCUGUGCUGUUGAUGGUUAACUUUUCAUGACCUCCCUCUUCUUGUUCUCUUUCUUUCUGUGAAAUAUGUUCAUAAUGUAUUUAGCCUCACUGUCUUUGGCAGUGAUUCUGAAUGGUAUUUGCCCUAGUGGGAUGGUUGCAUCAUUGGAUAUUUAUAUUUCAAAAAUAAAAACCUUGUUUGUUUCGUUAGUUCCA